Arabidopsis lyrata subsp. lyrata is the source of this 869-nucleotide long non-coding RNA. RefSeq lists it as uncharacterized. The transcript has 4 exons. NCBI's taxonomy places the organism in Eukaryota, Viridiplantae, Streptophyta, Magnoliopsida, Brassicales, Brassicaceae. The record is from RefSeq and is a predicted model, not a curated record.
AAUUUUAAAUAGAAAAAAGUCAGUCGAGAAAAUCUUUUGCUUUUCGACACAACCGCAUCCCCUUCUUCUCCCACGAUCUCAAAAUCGAUCUCCACUUCUCAACAAUGGAACUACAAAAAGGUUUCAGAUCUCUCAAAAUCAAUAUUCCUUUCAGAUUACUUCUCACCCUUAUUCCCCGAUUUCUGAGAUCAAAAACCAAUGAUUUCUCAAUUUCUCAAUCAAUUGAACGGUGUUAUUCAUUAGAACGGUGUAUUUCUCAAUUUCUCCAUAUCUCUACUGAGCCUCCGUCGUUUGAUUUGAAUCAAAGAUAUGCCACUCGACAUUACACCUAUUUCCCAAAUAACUUUAGGCACUGAUCCAUGUAAAAUCAAUGUUCGAAUUGUCCGUCUUUGGGGUUUUCCAAAAAAGGAUAAACUAGAAGAAUUUACAGGAAUUGAUCUUCUCCUUAUGGAUGAAAAGAAUGCUAUUGAACAAGAAAUAAUCACUGUCUCUGGAAAUUCAGUGGGACUUCAAUCGGGACCUCAACUCAGGCUGAAAUUAACUUUGUUGAUGUGGAAAAAUUAGACAACAAUGAAGACAACGCUUAUAACGUUUCCACUCCAAAGCCUACAACUAAAAGAUCCUUGGCAACAUCUAAAGAUGUUCAACAAUCAUCAACGAAGCCUAAGCUAAUGUCCAAGGCUCAGAUUAAGAAGGAAAAGUAAUGAUUGUACUUAAAACUAUUGUCUCUCUUAUUCUACUCUGCUAGGACUUAGGAUUUAGGAUUAUCAUUUUUUCUUAGGACUUAGGAUUUCAGAUGUUAGGACUUAGGAUUAUCACUUCUCAAUUUGCGUUUUUCUUUUUAGUUUUAAGCCAUGUUAACUUUCAAA